CAAUUUGAUUUUCACUCGGUUGAUCAAAAACCAAAAAUCUUCAUCGAUGACCGAUAUUGAUAGUGGAAAAUUUUCAUUCUUUUCUUUUUCUUUGGUGCUCUCAUUUGACUUCCCUUCACACGAAUGAAAACGAAUUUAAAAAUUAUUAUAUAAACAAACGUUCGAAUUCGAAUGUUAAGAAGAAGAAGCAUUCGAAAUCCAAAUUCGGAAUUGUGAAUAUUCUCGAUUUUUACAUCAUCGAUUUUGUUUUUGUUUUUAUAAACAAAAACAAAAACAAACGACAUUCAUCCGGUGCAUAAUGAUGGUGUUUGAAUUGUGUUUUUUUUUUUCUCGAUGUGAUAUAAUAAUUUCAAAGUCUUCGAAUGUUGUUCUUGUUCUGUUGAUCAUUUGAUGAUUAUCAAAAAUCAGAUUUUUUGGACAUUUUUUUUUGAUUGCACAACAAAAACAACAACAACAACAACAUUAAUGAAUCAUGGAAAUGACGUAAAUACUCAUUAUUAUCAUCAUCAUCAUUAUCAUCAUCAAAAAUUGAUUGUAAAUGUUCUUUUUUUUUUGUUUCUGUCAUCAUCAUCAUCAUCGUUGAUC
Long non-coding RNA from Dermatophagoides pteronyssinus (European house dust mite), 585 nucleotides. The record is from RefSeq and is a predicted model, not a curated record. NCBI's taxonomy places the organism in Eukaryota, Metazoa, Arthropoda, Arachnida, Sarcoptiformes, Pyroglyphidae.